Molecule: ribosomal RNA, 342 nt
Filed under: uncultured bacterium
Lineage: Bacteria
Description: bacterial SSU rRNA
Rfam family: Bacterial small subunit ribosomal RNA
Source: RNAcentral
GGGCCCGCACAAGCGGUGGAGCAUGUGGUUUAAUUCGAUGCAACGCGAAGAACCUUACCAGGGCUUGACAUACUACAGAUCCCUUUGAAAAAAGGGGGAGUGCCUUCGGGAAUGUAGAUACAGGUGGUGCAUGGCUGUCGUCAGCUCGUGUCGUGAGAUGUUGGGUUAAGUCCCGCAACGAGCGCAACCCUUAUUUUUAGUUACCAAUUCGUUGGGUUCUCUAGAAAGACUGCCGGUGACAAACCGGAGGAAGGUGAGGAUGACGUCAAGUCAGCAUGCCCCUUAUGUCCUGGGCUACACACGUGCUACAAUGGCUAAGACAAAGAGUCGCGAGAGCUAGCA